GUGGAAUGGACGCGCGAGGCGGGGAGCGGCCGGGCCUCGGGGGAGCCGCCUCCCUCUCCCCGUGCGCACCCCGCGGCCGCUCUACUGCGGAGCCCAGGGCUCAGGGGUCGUCAUGGACGCGGCGGAGAGGCUCCCGGGCUCGGGCCCUCCCGCUGCUGAGGAGACCGGGCGGGCGGCGGGACCCGACGACGGCACGAACAGCAUGUCUCACAAAGAGGAUGUCCUUCAGCUGGGUCCCAGGAUGAUGGCACAAAGCUGAAGAUAACUGCGACUGACAGCAUGAAGAGAGAGACACCUGACUAGAGGAACACUGGGGAUUGAGCCCACAACCCGGGCAUGUGCCCUGACCGGGAAUCGAACCGUGACCUCCUAGUUCAUAGGUCGAUGCUCAACCACUGAGCCACGCAGGCUGGGCUCCUGAAGACUUUUAAUUGUAUCUCAAGUGAUCCUUAUUUUGUGAACAACUUUGUACCUUUCUGAAGCCCAUCCUUUCAGGGGGUCAUGACUAAUGCCCUGGAGACCAUUACCCUGAAAACGGUGUUUGGAUUAUUUGUCUGGAAAGCAUCUUCUGGUGUAUCUUUGAACACUCACCUGUCAUGUCUCUGCCCACUCAUCCAGCCUGGUGCCAUCUCCCUGCAGUUUAUUCUGCACCGGGCAUUUUACUAACUAAAAGUUUCAUGUCAUAUGUCACUUUGGAUAUUUCACACACAUGCUCACCUCUGAAUCACUUACCAAACUAUUUCAUAAGAAUGCGUUAGAGCCAAUCCCUGGUGUACCCUGCUGUUUAAACCUCCUUAUUCAGGUGGAAUGGAAUGUUAAAGUGGAAGUUUCAGCUGAGAUCCUAGAGCAGGGGUGGGCAACCCCUGGCACGCGUGCCAAACAUGACACGUCAGUAACUUUUGCUGGCACUCGAAACUCUCUCAGAAAAAGAAAAGAUUAUUCAGCGCAUUAAAGAUUUGUCUUUGAGAGGGAAAACAGUUAAUGAUAGGAUACUUAAGUUGGCGAGUAAUACUGCUGAACAAUUAACAAAAGAUUUGUCUUCAUGUCAAUUUUUUCCUAUUUGUAUUGAUGGAAGUACAGACAUUACAUCGUCAUCUAAGCUGGCCAUUUUUUCUUGACUUUGUAAAUGAUGAAAUAUGUGAAGAGAUGGUUGCCCUUCUAACUCUACCUGAGCGUACUACCGGGGCUGAAAUAUGUAAAGCAGUUAUGAACAAAUUCUCUUCUCGACAAAUUGACAUUGCAAAAGUAGUGUCCGUCACCACUGGUGGUGCUCCUGCAUGACUGGUGAGAAGGCAGGUUUUGUAAAUCUGUUUGCGAAAGAAGUUGCUCAUACACUGAUGGGUUUUCAUUGCAUCAUACAUGAUGAGGCUUUAUGUGCAAGAGCUGGCCUGAAGGAACUGCAGGAAGUGAUGCAAACAGUUACCAAAGUUGUUAAUUACAUUUCUGCUCGGGCUUUAAAUAAAAUACAAUUUUAAGUUUUACUGAAAGGCAGAAUCUGUGUAUAAAGGACUGAAAAUGUACAAUGUUCGAUGGCUUAGCCGAGGUUUGGUUCUGAAACGAUUCGUUGAAUGCUUAAAUGAGAUAACACUCUUCCUGAAUAACCAACAUGUUUCUUACCAAGAAUUGUCUGACGCCACGUGGGUUUCUAAACUGAUGUUCUUUGCAGAUUUUUGUGAACAUUUGAAUGACUUAAAUGUUAAAUUACAAGAAACUGGCAAGACACUUGAUGUUGUUUGGUUACAUAAAGGCUUUUGAAAAGAAACUAGAAGUCUUUAAGAAGGAUAUGGAUGGUGAGAGAUUUAGAUAUUUCCCAAACCUCAAGCGGCACAUCAAAGACCUCCCAAAAGAUGACAGAACAGACUGUCAAAGCCUUCAAAAGCUGUUUUUAAACAUCAUUGAGUCAACUAUU
Molecule: RNA transcript, 1909 nt
Organism: Myotis lucifugus (little brown bat)
Lineage: Eukaryota; Metazoa; Chordata; Mammalia; Chiroptera; Vespertilionidae
Gene name: serine protease 58-like
Exons: 3
Source: RefSeq, a predicted model, not a curated record